This 253-nucleotide ribosomal RNA is filed under the name uncultured bacterium. RNAcentral's name for it is "partial 16S ribosomal RNA". It matches the Rfam family "Bacterial small subunit ribosomal RNA", at positions 524 to 776 of the family's 1533-position model. The record is from RNAcentral.
UACGUAGGGUGCAAGCGUUGUCCGGAAUUAUUGGGCGUAAAGAGCGCGUAGGCGGUCCGAUAAGUCGGCUGUGAAAGUCAGGGGCUCAACCCUUGAAAGCCGGCCGAUACUGUCGGACUAGAGUCCGGAAGAGGCAAGUGGAAUUCCCGGUGUAGCGGUGAAAUGCGUAGAUAUCGUAAGGAAGACCAGUGGCGAAGGCGAAUCUCUGGACAAUUACUGACACUGAGGCACGAAGGCCAGGGGAGCAAACGGG